AACGAACGCUGGCGGCAGGCCUAAUACAUGCAAGUCGAGCGCGCCCUUCGGGGUGAGCGGCGGACGGGUGAGUAACGCGUGGGAAUAUGCCCUUCUCUAAGGAAUAGCCUCUGGAAACGGAGAGUAAUACCUUAUACGCCCUUUGGGGGAAAGAUUUAUCGGAGAAGGAUUAGCCCGCGUUAGAUUAGGUAGUUGGUGGGGUAAUGGCCUACCAAGCCUACGAUCUAUAGCUGGUUUGAGAGGAUGAUCAGCCACACUGGGACUGAGACACGGCCCAGACUCCUACGGGAGGCAGCAGUAGGGAAUCUUAGACAAUGGGGGCAACCCUGAUCUAGCCAUGCCGCGUGUGUGAUGAAGGCCUUAGGGUCGUAAAGCACUUUCGCCAGAGAUGAUAAUGACAGUAUCUGGUAAAGAAACCCCGGCUAACUCCGUGCCAGCAGCCGCGGUAAUACGGAGGGGGUUAGCGUUGUUCGGAAUUACUGGGCGUAAAGCGCACGUAGGCGGAUUAGUAAGUUAGAGGUGAAAUCCCAGGGCUCAACCCUGGAACUGCCUUCAAUACUGCUAGUCUUGAGUUCGAGAGAGGUAAGUGGAAUCCGAGUGUAGAGGUGAAAUUCGUA
RNAcentral lists this ribosomal RNA (617 nucleotides) under uncultured Alphaproteobacteria bacterium. RNAcentral's name for it is "bacterial SSU rRNA". It matches the Rfam family "Bacterial small subunit ribosomal RNA", at positions 28 to 692 of the family's 1533-position model. Lineage: Bacteria; Pseudomonadati; Pseudomonadota; Alphaproteobacteria. The record is from RNAcentral.